RNAcentral lists this ribosomal RNA (494 nucleotides) under uncultured bacterium. Its description in RNAcentral is "partial 16S ribosomal RNA". It matches the Rfam family "Bacterial small subunit ribosomal RNA", at positions 28 to 507 of the family's 1533-position model. The record is from RNAcentral.
GACGAACGCUGGCGGCGUGCUUAACACAUGCAAGUCGAACGGUGAAGCGCCUUCCUUUUUGGUGGGUGUGGAUGAGUGGCGAACGGGUGAGUAACACGUGAGUAACCUGCCCCCUUCUUCUGGAUAACCGCAUGAAAGUGUGGCUAAUACGGGAUAUUCUGGGUCUGUCGCAUGAUGGGUCUGGGAAAGAUAUUGUUUCGGUGGGGGAUGGGCUCGCGGCCUAUCAGCUUGUUGGUGGGGUGAUGGCCUACCAAGGCGGUGACGGGUAGCCGGCCUGAGAGGGUGGACGGUCACACUGGGACUGAGACACGGCCCAGACUCCGACGGGAGGCAGCAGUGGGGAAUAUUGCACAAUGGGCGAAAGCCUGAUGCAGCGACGCCGCGUGAGGGAUGGAGGCCUUCGGGUUGUGAACCUCUUUCGCCAGUGAAGCAGGCCUGCCUCGUUUGUGGGUGGGUUGACGGUAGCUGGAUAAGAAGCGCCGGCUAACUACGUG